RNAcentral lists this ribosomal RNA (299 nucleotides) under uncultured bacterium. RNAcentral's name for it is "partial 16S ribosomal RNA". It matches the Rfam family "Bacterial small subunit ribosomal RNA", at positions 29 to 355 of the family's 1533-position model. The record is from RNAcentral.
AACGAACGCUGGCGGCAUGCCUAACACAUGCAAGUCGAACGAAGCCUUCGGGCUUAGUGGCGCACGGGUGCGUAACGCGUGGGAAUCUGCCCUCAGGUACGGAAUAACUCAGGGAAACUUGAGCUAAUACCGUAUAAUGACUUCGGUCCAAAGAUUUAUCGCCUGAGGAUGAGCCCGCGUCGGAUUAGCUAGUUGGUGAGGUAAAAGCUCACCAAGGCGACGAUCCGUAGCUGGUCUGAGAGGAUGAUCAGCCACACUGGGACUGAGACACGGCCCAGACUCCUACGGGAGGCAGCAGU